UCCAGACUCCUACGGGAGGCAGCAGUGAGGAAUAUUGGUCAAUGGGCGCGAGCCUGAACCAGCCAAGUCGCGUGAGGGAAGACGGUCCUAUGGAUUGUAAACCUCUUUUGUCGGGGAGCAAAAGACGCCACGCGUGGCGUUCCGAGAGUACCCGAAGAAAAAGCAUCGGCUAACUCCGUGCCAGCAGCCGCGGUAAUACGGAGGAUGCGAGCGUUAUCCGGAUUUAUUGGGUUUAAAGGGUGCGCAGGCGGAUUUUUAAGUCAGCGGUCAAAUCGUGGGGCUCAACCCCAUCCAGCCGUUGAAACUGGCAGUCUCGAGUUGGAGAGAAGUAUGCGGAAUGCGUGGUGUAGCGGUGAAAUGCAUAGAUAUCACGCAGAACUCCGAUUGCGAAGGCAGCAUACCGGCGCGCAACUGACGCUCAUGCACGAAAGCGUGGGUAUCGAACAGGAUUAGAUACCCCCGUAAA
Molecule: ribosomal RNA, 466 nt
Filed under: uncultured bacterium
Lineage: Bacteria
Description: bacterial SSU rRNA
Rfam family: Bacterial small subunit ribosomal RNA
Source: RNAcentral